AGUGAACGCUGGCGGCGUGCCUAACACAUGCAAGUCGAACGAUGAUGGAGAGCUUGCUCUCCUGAUUAGUGGCUCACGGGUGAGUAUACCAUAGCUAAUGUACCUCUUAGUUCGGGAUAGCCACUGGAAACGGCGAUUAAUACCGGAUACUCCUGCCUGUCUUAAGGCGAGUCGGGAAAGUUUUUUCGCUAAGAGAUCAGUCUAUGUCCUAUCAGCUAGUUGGUGAGGUAAUGGCUCACCAAGGCUAUGACGGGUAUCUGGUUUGAGAGGAUGAACAGACACACUGGGACUGAGACACGGUCCAGACUCCUACGGGAGGCAGCAGUGAGGAAUAUUGCACAAUGGAGGAAACUCUGAUGCAGCAACGCCGCGUGGAGGAUGACGCAUUUCGGUGUGUAAACUCCUUUUAAGAGGGAAGAUUAUGACGGUACCUCUUGAAUAAGCACCGGCUAACUCCGUGCCAGCAGCCGCAGUAA
This 476-nucleotide ribosomal RNA is filed under the name uncultured bacterium. RNAcentral's name for it is "partial 16S ribosomal RNA". It matches the Rfam family "Bacterial small subunit ribosomal RNA", at positions 29 to 523 of the family's 1533-position model. The record is from RNAcentral.